ACCUCGUGGUUCGGACAUUGUACGACUUUUCCAUUGAAUCUUUCCCAUACCUCGUACAAGAUUUCUCCAUUCAAUUGCCUAAAGUUAAUGAUUUCAUUAUACAAUU
This is a small nucleolar RNA of Capsicum annuum, 106 nucleotides long. Lineage: Eukaryota; Viridiplantae; Streptophyta; Magnoliopsida; Solanales; Solanaceae. The record is from RefSeq and is a predicted model, not a curated record.